Molecule: ribosomal RNA, 371 nt
Filed under: uncultured organism
Description: bacterial SSU rRNA
Rfam family: Bacterial small subunit ribosomal RNA
Source: RNAcentral
CAGAGGGUGCAAGCGUUAAUCGGAUUUACUGGGCGUAAAGCGUGCGUAGGCGGUUCAUUAAGUCGGUUGUGAAAUCCCUGGGCUUAACCUGGGAACUGCAGUCGAUACUGGUGAACUAGAGUGCGGUAGAGGGUGGCGGAACUCCGGGUGUAGCGGUGAAAUGCGUAGAUAUCCGGAAGAACACCGAUGGCGAAGGCAACCACCUGGGCCUGCACUGACGCUGAGGUACGAAAGCGUGGGGAGCAAACAGGAUUAGAUACCCUGGUAGUCCACGCUGUAAACGAUGAGAACUUGACGUCGGUUCGCCUAGCGAAUCGGUGUCGCAGCUAACGCGAUAAGUUCUCCGCCUGGGGAGUACGGCCGCAAGGUUG